AGAGUUUGAUCCUGGCUCAGGACUAACGCUGGCGGCGUGCCUAACACAUGCAAGUCGAACGGACAUGCCCAUGAAGCUUCGGCAGAGUGGGAGUUACAUGUUAGUGGCGAACGGGUGAGUAUCGCGUAAAUAAUCUACCGCUUAGACGGGGACAACCUAGGGAAACCUGGGCUAAUACCGGAUACGACUUUUGUAUCGCAUGAUACAAAAGUGAAAUCAAUUUGGCUGAGCGAUGAGUUUGCGUCUGAUUAGCUUGUUGGUGAGGUAAUGGCUUACCAAGGCGAUGAUCAGUAGCUGGUCUGAGAGGAUGAACAGCCACACUGGGACUGAGACACGGCCCAGACUCCUACGGGAGGCAGCAGUGAGGAAUUUUGCUCAAUGGGCGCAAGCCUGAAGCAGCGACGCCGCGUGAACGAUGAAGUCUUUCGGGAUGUAAAGUUCUGUCAGUGGGGAAGAUAAUGACGGUACCCACAGAGGAAGGACCGGCAAACUAUGUGUCAGCAGCCGCGGUAAUACAUAGGGUCCAAGCGUUGUCCGGAUUUACUGGGCGUAAAGAGCAUGUAGGCGGCAUUUUAAGUCAAAUUUUAAAGGCUGAGGCUCAACCUUGGUUUGGGUUUGAUACUGGAAUGCUGGAGAUUGGGAGAGGAAAGCGGAACUAACGGUGUAGCGGUGAAAUGCGUAGAUAUCGUUAGGAACACCCGUGGCGAAGGCGGCUUUCUGGACCAAAUCUGACGCUGAGAUGCGAAAGCGUGGGUAGCAAACAGGAUUAGAUACCCUGGUAGUCCACGCUGUAAACGAUGUACAUUAGGUAUAGAGGGUAUCGACCCCUUCUGUGCCGAAGCUAACGCGUUAAAUGUACCGCCUGGGGAGUACGAUCGCAAGAUUAAAACUCAAAGGAAUUGACGGGGGCCCGCACAAGCAGUGGAUCAUGUGGUUUAAUUCGACGAUACGCGAAAAACCUUACCAGAACUUGACAUCUAGGGAAGUUUCUAGAAGUAGAAAUGUGCCUUCGGGAACCCUAAGACAGGUGGUGCAUGGUUGUCGUCAGCUCGUGUCGUGAGAUGUUGGGUUAAGUCCCGCAACGAGCGUAACCCUCGUGUUGUGUUGCUACAUUUAGUUGAGAACUCACAACAGACUGCCCGUGGAAAACGGGAGGAAGGUGGGGAUGACGUCAAAUCAUCAUGCUCCUUAUGUUCUGGGCUACACACAUGAUACAAUGGCCAGUACAAUGGGCAGCGAAACCGCAAGGUGGAGCUAAUCUCAAAAAACUGGCCUCAGUUCGGAUUGCAGGCUGCAACUCGCCUGCAUGAAGUUGGAAUUGCUAGUAAGCGCAGAUCAGCACGCUGCGUUGAAUACGUUCCCGGGCCUUGUACACACCGCCCGUCACACCAUGAAAGCCGGAAAUAUCCGAAGUCAGUGAGCCAACCGCAAGGGGGCAGCUGCCUAAGAUAGAGUCGGUGAUUGGGGUGAAGUCGUAACAAGGUA
Molecule: ribosomal RNA, 1485 nt
Filed under: metagenome
Description: bacterial SSU rRNA
Rfam family: Bacterial small subunit ribosomal RNA
Source: RNAcentral